Coniochaeta sp. 2T2.1 is the source of this 112-nucleotide non-coding RNA. Lineage: Eukaryota; Fungi; Ascomycota; Sordariomycetes; Coniochaetales; Coniochaetaceae. The record is from the annotation of a GenBank genome assembly.
GGAACUUUAGCUCAGCUGGUUAGAGCGCAGGUCUCAUACUACCGUAUGAUUCCUCUGAUUUCAAACAGAGGGAGUAAUCCUGAGGUCGUGAGUUCGAAUCUCACAAGUUUCA